GUUCUCCACUGAUUUUACUUGACUAUAUUUUAUUUCUCUUUGGAUUCAAGUAAUAGUUGAUUACAUUUUGCUUUAUGUUAAAUGCCUUUGUCUUUUUCUACUUGUUAGGUUAUAAACAUCUUGAGAGCAAGGACUAAAUCUUACUUAUCUUUAUUAAGAACUAACAGUGGAACACACAGAAAAUCCAUGGAUAUACUGUCAGACUGUCACCAAAUAUACAUUCAACAUUUUUCUUACUUGUGAGACUGAUUUUGAGAAAAUUUGCUAUCACAGAAUCACUAAACUUUAGAGCAGGUAGACUCCUGCAAUGAUUUUAUUUACUUGCUAUAUUUUACCAAUAAGAAAACCGAGGCAUAGAGAAGUUGAGACUUUCUACACACCAGUGCCUAGUCUUCAUGAUGCUUAUGCCCAACCCUGAGUCCUUUCCUCUAUAUAAUCAAAAUGUCACUGAUUUAUUCUUGUUAAGUUUAGGUUGCAAGUGUAAAAAUCUAUAAACAAUCAAAAUGAUGGUAGGACAAAAUGAAAAUGGAUGUGCAGUUGCUGACUAAUAUUAAUCUGACAAAUUUUAAAUAGUUUUCUACAAAGACACCCAAAUCCUUCAUAACAAAGUCUCAUUUUUUUGUGUCAUUGCAUUGUCUGAGACUGUAUAUGUGUAUAUAAUGUAUAUAUCUUUAUUCUAUAUAUGUAUAUUUGCAUUAUAUUUGUAUAUACAUUUGUGUGUAUAUUCACAUAUAUUUCAUAUCUAUAGCAUCAACUACUUCAUAAUACAAGUGAUAUGUGUAACUUUCAAGUAAAAUGGUUUAAAGAAGAAAUUGUUUGCUUGCCACUUAAUCUCUUUUUCCCUUCUUACAAAAUGGAACAUGGACUAGUAUGUGUAAUCCAACCUCAACCAAUCCAGAGAAGAACACUGGAGGAAAUGGAAGAGAAACAAGAUAUCUAUAGGGAAAGAGCUUCCCUGCUGGCCUGGAAAUGCUCAUCCCUGGAUCGUUAGAUAAGACAGAAAUAAAAUUCUAUUUUGUUUGAGACUUUGAAUUUUAGGGUUUUGUUGUUGUUGUUGUUACAGCUGCUUAAAAUAUACACCCAAAGUAAUAUAUUUGCCAUC
This 1102-nucleotide long non-coding RNA is filed under the name Pan troglodytes (chimpanzee). RNAcentral's name for it is "long non-coding RNA NONPTRT013024". The record is from RNAcentral. Lineage: Eukaryota; Metazoa; Chordata; Mammalia; Primates; Hominidae.